RNAcentral lists this ribosomal RNA (228 nucleotides) under uncultured bacterium. Its description in RNAcentral is "partial 16S ribosomal RNA". It matches the Rfam family "Bacterial small subunit ribosomal RNA", at positions 118 to 346 of the family's 1533-position model. The record is from RNAcentral.
UGAGCAAUCUACCCUUCUCAUCGGAAUAAGCGUUGGAAACGACGUCUAAUGCCGAAUACGACCUCCUUUCGCAUGAUCGGAGGUGGAAAGCUCCGGCGGAGAAGGAUGAGCUCGCGGCCUAUCAGCUAGUUGGUGUGGGUAAUGGCCCACCAAGGCGACGACGGGUAGCUGGUCUGAGAGGAUGGCCAGCCACAUUGGGACUGAGACACGGCCCAGACCUCUACGGGA